Molecule: ribosomal RNA, 497 nt
Filed under: uncultured bacterium
Lineage: Bacteria
Description: partial 16S ribosomal RNA
Rfam family: Bacterial small subunit ribosomal RNA
Source: RNAcentral
GAUGAACGCUGGCGGCGUGCCUAAUACAUGCAGGUAGAACGCUGAAGCUUGGUGCUUGCACCGAGCGGAUGAGUUGCGAACGGGUGAGUAACGCGUAGGUAACCUGCCUGGUAGCGGGGGAUAACUAUUGGAAACGAUAGCUAAUACCGCAUAACAGUAGAUAUUGCAUGAUAUCUGCUUGAAAGGUGCAAAUGCAUCACUACCAGAUGGACCUGCGUUGUAUUAGCUAGUUGGUGAGGUAACGGCUCACCAAGGCGACGAUACAUAGCCGACCUGAGAGGGUGAUCGGCCACACUGGGACUGAGACACGGCCCAGACUCCUACGGGAGGCAGCAGUAGGGAAUCUUCGGCAAUGGGGGGAACCCUGACCGAGCAACGCCGCGUGAGUGAAGAAGGUUUUCGGAUCGUAAAGCUCUGUUGUAAGAGAAGAACGAGUGUGAGAGUGGAAAGUUCACACUGUGACGGUAUCUUACCAGAAAGGGACGGCUAACUACGUG